RNAcentral lists this long non-coding RNA (1892 nucleotides) under Brassica napus (rape). Its description in RNAcentral is "long non-coding RNA (BNAP_LNC023782)". The record is from RNAcentral. Lineage: Eukaryota; Viridiplantae; Streptophyta; Magnoliopsida; Brassicales; Brassicaceae.
CUUUCAAUUACUUGGACUGGUUGCUUGUCCUGUCUAAGAGAUUGCUCGAAGAAGAACUCAUAACCGCUUCUUCCAAGGCCUGCAAAACCAAAGGAACCAAACACAGAGCAUAAACACAAAUGUUUUAUGCAAAAGACAUAGUUUCAACACAGUUAUUUAAUCAUAGAAAGUUACCACAUCUUUCUUGUUUUCUUUCACUUCCUUGGCAUGGUUGCUUGUCCUGUCUACAAGAUUGCUCGAAAAAGAACUCAUAACCGCUUCUUCCGUGGCCUGCAAAACCAAAGGAACCAAACACAGAGCAUAAACACAAAUGCUUUAUGCAAAAAACAUAGCUUCAACACAGUUAUUUAAUCAUAGAAAGUUACCGCAUCUUUCUUGUUUUCUUUCACUUUCUUGGCCUGGUUGUUUGUCCUGUCUACAAGAUUGAUCGAAUAAGAACUCAUAACCGCUUCUUCCGUGGCCUGCAAAACCAAAGGAACCAAACACAGAGCAUAAACACAAAUGCUUUAUGCAAAAAACAUAGCUUCAACACAGUUAUUUAAUCAUAGAAAGUUACCGCAUCUUUCUUGUUUUCUUUCACUUACUUGGCCUGGUUGCUUGUCCUGUCUACAAGAUUGCUCGAAAAAGAACUCAUAACCGCUUCUUCCGUGGCCUGCAAAACCAAAGGAACCAAACACAGAGCAUAAACACAAAUGCUUUAUGCAAAAAACAUAGCUUCAACACAAUUAUUUAAUCAUAGAAAGUUACCGCAUCUUUCUUGUUUUCUUUCACUUCAUAACCGCUUCUUCUGUGGCCUGCAAAACCAAAGAAACCAAACACAGAGCAUAAACACAAAUGCUUUAUGCAAAAAACAUAGCUUCAACACAAUUAUUUAAUCAUAGAAAGUUACCGCAUCUUUCUUGUUUUCUUUCACUUCAUAACCGCUUCUUCUGUGGCCUGCAAAACCAAAGAAACCAAACACAGAGCAUAAACACAAUUUUUUUAUGCAAAAAACAUAGCUUCAAAACGGUUAUUUAAUCAUAGAAAGUUACCGCAUCUUUCUUGUUUUCUUUCACUUCCUUGGCCUGAUUGUUUGUCCUGUGUACAAGAUUGCUCGAAGAAGAACUCAUAACCGCUUCUUUCGUGGCCUGCAAAACCAAAGGAACCAAACACAGAACAUAAACACAAAUGUUUUAUGCAAAAAACAUAGCUUCAACACAGUUAUUUAAUCAUAGAAAGUUACCGCAUCUUUCUUGUUUUCUUUCACUUCAUAACCGCUUCUUUCGUGGCCUGCAAAACAAAGGAACCAAACACAAAGCAUAAACACAAAUGUUUUAUGCAAGAAACAUAGCUUCAACACAGUUAUUUAAUCAUAGAAAGUUACCGCAUCUUUCUUGUUUUCUUUCACUUCCUUGGCCUGGUUGCUUGUCCUGUCUACAUGAUUGCUCGAAGAAGAACUCAUAACCGCUUCUUCUGUGGCCUGCAAAACCAAAGGAAUCAAACACAGAACAUAAACACAAAUGUUUUAUGCAAAAAACAUAGCUUCAACACAGUUAUUUAAUCAUAGAAAGUUACCACAUCUUUCUUGUUUUCUUUCACUUCAUAACCGCUUCUUCUGUGGCCUGCAAAACCAAAAGAACCAAACACAGAGCAUAAACACAAAUGUUUUAUGCAAAAAAACAUAGCUUCAACACAGUUAUUUAAUCAUAGAAAGUUACCGCAUCUUUCUUGUUUUCUUUCACUUCCUUCGCCUGGUUGCUUGUCCUGUCUACAAGAUUGCUCGAAGAAGAACUCAUAACCGCUUCUUCCGUGGCCUGUAAAACCAAAGGAACCAAACACAGAGCAUAAACACAAAUGUUUUAUGCAAAAAAACAUAGCUUCAACACAGUUAUUUAAUCAUAGAAAGUUACCGU